AAAAAUCAAAGGUUACUUUAAACCUGCUAAGUUAUAAAGUCUGUAGUUCAACUCUAUAGGAUUUUUG
This 67-nucleotide transfer RNA is filed under the name Peniagone sp. YYH-2013. Its description in RNAcentral is "tRNA-Ser". Lineage: Eukaryota; Metazoa; Echinodermata; Holothuroidea; Elasipodida; Elpidiidae. The record is from RNAcentral.